UUCAUUGGAUCCUUGUACAUCAACUAUUGCAUGUCUUUCUUGGAAUGCAUGUAAAAAAGGGUGCUUGCUUGAAAAUAAUGAGAGAAGAGAUUUUGUUUCUGGAGACCCAACAAUAGAUUGAGCACAAUAUUCUAUGAGCUUUUGCCCAAUCCAGUCACAGUAUGAAGAACACAUGGGAGAGGGAUAUGGAUGACAAGCAAGAGAAGGUAAAUUUUUAUAUGGGGAAGGGCUAAGACUAAAAUGAGAGCAACUUCUAACCAUUGAAUCUCUCAUAAUAGCAAGUAAAGUAAGUCUUCCGUUUGUAUCUUGAGGGUUGAAUGAAAAGAAAUUGAAUUGAGUGGAGUUGAAGUGAAAAAUUUCAACUCAAGACGAGAGAAAAGGACUCUGAGUCAUGGCCACCUGAAGUGAGGUUUUUCAUAUCAUGGAAACUCAAGACCCCACCCCAAGCAUAUCUCUAGCACCAAAACAUGAUUCAAAAGAUUGUCUUCUGAAAAUGUUUUCUCUUCAAAUAUUGCCAAUGAGGGUUAUGGUGAUAUUUAUGGCAGAAUAAUACAAAGGCAGUGUCUCAUUAAAAGCUGAUAUACUCUUGGAAGGGCUCUUACACAAAGUCAGUAGCAGGAAGAUUGUGGUCAAUUUACCCAAAGUUAAACAUAGAAUCAUUUAACAACACCAUCCCCAAGAAGCUACAGCCGCUGUUAAACAGCCUAUGGCUCCUUCCAGUAGAAUUCCCAAAAUGAGAGCUACUUUUGCUACAAAUGAAAUGCUCGCUGACCAGUGCUCUGUGCAAUUAUAAAACAAGAAUGCUGAGGGGAGAGAAUAGGAUGGAAAGGGAGAAGGAGAAAGAGAAUAUGUAGAGAGUGGGAAGUGAAGCCAUUACCUGGAUAAAAAAUACCUGAUCAGAAUUUUUCAAAAUGCGUUGAAGGGAGAACAAAUUUUAGAAAUAUCAGAGAUAAAGAAGUAAUUAUUUCAAGUGAAUCUAAUGAUGAAAACUUGAAGUUACUGCAGAUUCAUUGUGAAAAAUAAACUUGGAUAGAAAAAUAGUUUAGAUAUAAGA
This 1054-nucleotide long non-coding RNA is filed under the name Sus scrofa (pig). RNAcentral describes it as "lncRNA (ENSSSCG00055018024.1)". Lineage: Eukaryota; Metazoa; Chordata; Mammalia; Artiodactyla; Suidae. The record is from RNAcentral.